Molecule: unclassified non-coding RNA, 1591 nt
Filed under: Hevea brasiliensis (rubber tree)
Lineage: Eukaryota; Viridiplantae; Streptophyta; Magnoliopsida; Malpighiales; Euphorbiaceae
Source: RNAcentral
GAAGAAACCAUACUCCAUAUUAGCCUAUUAAUUGAAAUUAUCUUUUCCUCAGGGAAAAAAUACAUAGUGAUAUUUAUUACAAGUUACCAAUGUCUCAAUAUAAACAAUUCCCUAAUGCGAAAUGAUUCACAUGUCCUUCAAGGUCGAGUUCAGUGGACCUUGUAAUUGCAAGAAUCCCUGAACAGAUACUGCAGGAGUCCAAUAGUCUUUCCAUGUCAAACUUCGUGGAGCUUUUGCCAUGAGUGGAACCCAAGAAUGGGAACACAUAUACAAAGUAAAUGCUAACAAACCAUUAUAAUCCUCAGAUCUUGAUAGGAAUUUUGAUCCCUAACACAAGAUAACCCUUCCUAUCUGACAAAUUUUCCUUAUUUCCUUUUUCCUGUGCCAAUGGACAAGAGCUCAAAGCUCCUAAGUGCAUCAUCGCGACCGCCUCUUGUGGCAGUAGCACGACUAAAUGUAGACGAUUUGGACUCAAACCCAGGUUGCACUCUGUGGGUUGUGGACAAUCGACCACUGCUUGAGAGCAGCCGGCUUGACCGAUUCUCGCUAGGCUCACCAGAUGAACUUGGCCGGCUGCUUGAUACAACAGCCCUCUUUGAAGUACUGCCAUUUCGAGAUGAAGACCGGUGCCUAUCAGAAUCAGGAUGCUGGGGGUUUGGGGAAGGGGGAAAAGAAAAGAGCAUUAGUUGUGAAGCAAAAUCCAACCGUAGGCAUAAAAUGAAGCGCAAAGAUGUGCAUGAUACAUAGUGCACCACUCACCACAUCCUUAGGUGAUGGCACAUCAUCUGAAGACCUGUGUCGCAAGUGAUCCCCAUGCAAAGUAUGCCCAGAACCAUUUCUUCGAGCAAAUGCCUCUACUGCACCUGAGAAUCUUUCUCGGAUCUCUUGACCAACUAGAUGAAACAUAAAAAAUCACAUGACACUUGGGGCACUAGACUAACUUGUUAUCAUGUUCAAAUAAGAAUAUUACAACAAACUGUAAGAUUCAGAGUCCUCCAAAAGAAAGAGAGGAAAAAGGCACUAUGCAAUAGAAGCAUACUAAGGCAUCGCAAAACAAUACUGAGACCUCAUUAACGCCUCAUAUACAAGGAGAAUUCUUGUCAUUUAUCAAAAGUAUAUUUGCUCAAGAAUAAGCAUGCAUCAAAUUGCACUAAAAUAAUGGACCUGAAGGUCGUUCCACUCUUUCCGCUGAUGGACCUGGAUUUACAGCUGGUUUGCUGCUUGGCUAUUUAAGGUAGCAAAGAAAACAAUCAUUUACAAUAAUGCAAGCAUAGAUAUACUUAUCAAGAAAAUGGAAGGGUAGAUAUAUGUUUUUUCAGAAAAAUGACUACAUACAAACUAACUUACCCUUGCUCUAGAACUGGAGCCAAUCUGAGGAUACUUCAAUAUAGUCCAGUCAAAUACAUAGUCAAACUGAUACCCUUCUCGAAUAAAUAAGUCCCGGAAAAGCCUCUUCAGGUAUGAAUAAUCUGGUGUAUCUUCAAACCGCAAUGAUCGGCAAUAGUGGAAGUAUGAUGUGAAUUCUGAAGGAUAGUUUUUGCAAAGGAACUCUAUAGGGGUAAGCAUCUUCUUUUCACUGAUCUUGUCAUAU